RNAcentral lists this ribosomal RNA (459 nucleotides) under uncultured bacterium. Its description in RNAcentral is "partial 16S ribosomal RNA". It matches the Rfam family "Bacterial small subunit ribosomal RNA", at positions 29 to 507 of the family's 1533-position model. The record is from RNAcentral.
AGCGAACGCUGGCGGCAGGCCUAACACAUGCAAGUCGAACGAACCUUUCGGGGUUAGUGGCGGACGGGUGAGUAACACGUGGGAACGUGCCUUUAGGUUCGGAAUAACUCAGGGAAACUUGUGCUAAUACCGAAUGUGCCCUUCGGGGGAAAGAUUUAUCGCCUUUAGAGCGGCCCGCGUCUGAUUAGCUAGUUGGUUGAGGUAAUGGCUCACCAAGGCGACGAUCAGUAGCUGGUCUGAGAGGAUGAUCAGCCACAUUGGGACUGAGACACGGCCCAAACGAGGGGGGGAGCCAGCAGAACGGACUCGUGCGCAAUGGGCGGAAGCCUGAUGGAGCAAAGCGGCGUGAGUCAUGAGGGUCCCCGGACAGGAAAACGCUGUUAUCAGGGAAGAAAAAAUUUGUUCGGAAGGAUGAACGGCGUGCCGCUACCGAAACAGAAAGCCACGGCUAACUACGGG